GAUCCUGGCUCAGGAUGAACGCUGGCGGCGUGCUUAACACAUGCAAGUCGAACGGGAAACAUUUUAUUGAAGCUUCGGCAGAUUUAGCUUGUUUCUAGUGGCGGACGGGUGAGUAACGCGUGGGUAACCUGCCUUAUACCGGGGGAGUAACAGCCAGAAAUGGCUGCUAAUACCGCAUAAGCGCACGAGAACCGCAUGGUUCCGUUGUGAAAAACUCCGGUGGUAUAAGAUGGACCCGCGUUGGAUUAG
RNAcentral lists this ribosomal RNA (249 nucleotides) under uncultured bacterium. Its description in RNAcentral is "partial 16S ribosomal RNA". It matches the Rfam family "Bacterial small subunit ribosomal RNA", at positions 15 to 244 of the family's 1533-position model. The record is from RNAcentral.